RNAcentral lists this non-coding RNA (176 nucleotides) under Clostridium saccharobutylicum. Its description in RNAcentral is "T-box sequence". It matches the Rfam family "T-box leader". Rfam says of the family: Uncharged tRNA acts as the effector for transcription antitermination of genes in the T-box leader family. The record is from RNAcentral. Lineage: Bacteria; Bacillati; Bacillota; Clostridia; Eubacteriales; Clostridiaceae.
UAUUAAGCGAUGAAUAGGAAAAGUAGAUUUAGUGUAGACACUAAGAGAGGAAGUGGAUGGUGAAAACUUCUUGCUAUAUUACUUCGAAGCUACCUAGGAGCUAUAAAUUACUAAGUGAUGUAUAAAUUUAUACAUAAUUAGGGUGGUACCGCGGAAUUUUAGCUUUCGUCCCUUAU